UACAGAGGGUGCGAGCGUUGUCCGGAAUUACUGGGCGUAAAGGGCGCGUAGGCGGCUUGGUAAGUCGGGGGUGAAAGUCAGCGGCUCAACCGCCGGACUGCCUUCGAGACUGCCUGGCUUGAGCAUGGUAGAGGCUGGCGGAAUUCCCGGUGUAGCGGUGGAAUGCGUAGAGAUCGGGAAGAACAUCGGUGGCGAAGGCGGCCAGCUGGGCCAUUGCUGACGCUGAUGCGCGACAGCGUGGGGAGCAAACAGG
This 253-nucleotide ribosomal RNA is filed under the name uncultured bacterium. Its description in RNAcentral is "partial 16S ribosomal RNA". It matches the Rfam family "Bacterial small subunit ribosomal RNA", at positions 524 to 776 of the family's 1533-position model. The record is from RNAcentral.